UGACCUCGGAUCAGACGUGAUUACCCGCUGAAUUUAAGCAUAUUAUUAAGCGGAGGAAAAGAAACUAACAAGGAUUCCCCUAGUAACGGCGAGUGAACGGGGAAGAGCCCAACACCGAAUCCCUUGGCGCAAGUCAACGGGAAAUGUGGUGUUAAGGUAGCCCUUCGUGUCAGUCUAGGCGUCUCAAGUCCACCUGAUUGUGGCUCAAGCCCAGAGAGGGUGUAAGGCCCGUAGAGACGCUCCGACUGAUUCCUGGGGUUUACCUACGAGUCGGCUUGUUUGGGAAUGCAGGCCAAAGCGGGUGGUAAACUCCAUCCAAGGCUAAAUACUGGCACGAGUCCGAUAGCGGACAAGUACCGUGAGGGAAAGUUGAAAAGAACUUUGAAGAGAGAGUUCAAUAGUACGUGAAACCGCUUAGAGGCAAACGGAUGGUGCUCAUACUGGCCUGAGGAAUUCAACUGUGACGGUGGCUGGACGAGCUGGCGUUCCGAUCUCUCUCUUUGGGACGGGCGUCGGUUUGGCUAUCAGCUCCGACAUGGUGCACUUUCCUUGGUGCCUCCGCCACGACCGACGACACUGGCUACCCGCGGCUGGGGUAAGGUGACAAACUGCUUCGGCAAUUUGUGUUAUAGACCCCGGCGUCGGACAUGGUUUGGCCAGGACGUCGAGCUUGCGGCGCCCGCUCCUUGUGGGCUCGCAUGUUGGCUAGCUUGGCUGCGCCGAUGCUUGCACUGGACAACCAGUACAGGUGACGGUUGUGGUCUUGUCUCUAGUUGGCCUCUGCGAGUUUGGCGCCUAUAGUCUGUGGUGUACUUGUGGGUAGACUAUCCGACCCGUCUUGAAACACGGACCAAGGAGUCUAACAUUGUGCGCGAGUCAUGGGAUUCUACGAAACCCAAAGGGCGCAGUGAAAGUAAAGGCCUGCUUCUCGUAGGCUGAGGUGGGAUCUCGUGCAUCGCGAUUGGCGAGCGCACCACCGGCCCGUCCUAUCUGUCUCUGUCAGUGGGGCGGCGCAAGAGCGUACACGUUGGGACCCGAAAGAUGGUGAACUAUGCUUGCGCAGCUCGAAGUCAGUGGAAACACUGAUGGAGGAGCGCAGCGUUUCUGACGUGCAAAUCGAUCGUCAAACGUGAGUAUAGGGGCGAAAGACUAAUCGAACCAUCUAGUAGCUGGUUCCCUCCGAAGUUUCCCUCAGGAUAGCUGGCACUCGGGAAACAGUUUUAUCCGGUAAAGCGAAUGAUUAGAGGCAUUGGGUCGAAACGACCUCGACCUAUUCUCAAACUUUAAAUGGGUAAGAUGCUCGUCUCGCUUUAAUUGGAGGCGGGCUUCACCUCUCUAUAAACGUGAAUGUGAGUGCCCAGUGGGCCAUUUUUGGUAAGCAGAACUGGCUGUGUGGUAUGAACCAAACGCGCGGUUAAGGCGCCCAAUGCGGACGCUCAUGAGACACCACAAAAGGUGUUGGUCGAUACUGACAGCAGGACGGUGGCCAUGGAAGUCGGAACCCGCUAAGGAGUGUGUAACAACUCACCUGCCGAAUCAACCAGCCCUGAAAAUGGAUGGCGCUGGAGCGUCGGGCCUUAUACCGUCGUGCCGUUGGGGUGCGAAGCAGACAAAUAAUCUGUGUGGAUGUCCCAACGAGUAGGAGGGUCGCCGUGUGGUGAGCGCAGAAGGUGCGGCCGUGAGGCCGGCUGGAGCCGCCACGGAGCGCAGAUCUUGGUGGUAGUUAGCAAUUACUCAAGUGAGAACCUUGAGGACUGAAGUGGAGAAGGGUUCCAUGUGAACAGCAGUUGAACAUGGGUCAGGCGGUCCUAAGCGAUCGGUGGUAAACUCCGCUACCUAGACGAGGGUUGACAACUAUCAUGACUUAACUAACUGUGACGUGUUAUAGCCCUCCGGAGCGAAAGGGAAUCGUGUUAAAUAUUCACGACCCUUACCGUGGAGAUCGCCCCCUUUCGGGGGGCAAGCGCUGCGGUAACGCAAACGAACACAGAGACGUCGGCUGGAGCCCGGGGCGAAGAGUUCUCUUUCUUUGUAAGGAGCGUACCCCUGGAAUCGGCCUUGUCCGGAGAUAGAGGGCGUGGCUUCCGUAAAGCCAGCGCGGGUCUUGCGCUGUCCGGUGCACUCUAGUCGGCCCUUUGAAAAUCUCUGUGGGAGACACGUGCUGAUUUUCACGGUCAGGCCGUACCCAUAUCCGCAGCAGCGUCUCCAAGGUGAACAGCCGUCUCUAGUCCUAGAACAAUGUAGGUAAGGGAAGUCUGGCAAAAUGGCAUCCGUAACUUCGCGGAAAAGAGAUUGGCCUCUGCGAGGGCUGGCGUCGGAUGGGCUGGCGAAGAAGCUGUUUUCCGGUUUUGGUGAGGACUGGGCGAGGCUUUCGGGCUUUACUCGGACCAUGCCGAGACCAGGCAGUAGACGACGUCAGCUGUGCUUGUCGUGUUUUUUCGCGGCGCUUUCGUCGCGGCAGCUUCGUCGGCAAC
Non-coding RNA from Macrostomum lignano, 2474 nucleotides. Lineage: Eukaryota; Metazoa; Platyhelminthes; Macrostomidae. The record is from Rfam.